GGAGAGGUCGCCGUUGGCUAAGGCAGCGGCCGGCUUGCUGGUCGCGGUGGUUAAUCCACCCGAGGGUUCGAAUCCCUUCCCUCUCCGCCA
This 90-nucleotide transfer RNA is filed under the name Terriglobia bacterium. RNAcentral's name for it is "tRNA-OTHER". The record is from RNAcentral. Lineage: Bacteria; Pseudomonadati; Acidobacteriota; Terriglobia.